GGAUUGUGGCUCAGUGGUAGAGUGCUCACCUAGUAUAUGCGGGGCCCUGGGUUCGAUCCUCAGCACCA
This 68-nucleotide transfer RNA is filed under the name Marmota monax (woodchuck). RNAcentral describes it as "tRNA.Thr". The record is from RNAcentral. Lineage: Eukaryota; Metazoa; Chordata; Mammalia; Rodentia; Sciuridae.